Molecule: long non-coding RNA, 585 nt
Filed under: Androctonus crassicauda
Lineage: Eukaryota; Metazoa; Arthropoda; Arachnida; Scorpiones; Buthidae
Source: RNAcentral
UUUGAAGUCUCCUGCCAGAGUGCUGAAUUUGUCUAUAUUAUUAUUUUUUGGCAGUGUAUAGAUAUGUUUUUGAAGAAUUCAUAUUUGCAUAUCAUGCUGAAUGAGAAGAAUGGCAAGGUAAAAAUUGUACAAAUGCCAUAUGAAGGUGAGGGAUUAUGGGUGACUGAGAAGCUAGCAAAAAGAAUGGAACAGACUGAUUUGCAACAAGUUUCCAGCUGUCUUCAUAGCAUUUAGGAAUGGCAAGAUAAGUUUAAUGAACUACAAAAGAUGGGUGUAUAUGUGAUGCCUUGUAGUAAUGCUGGUUUAAGUAUUGAAAAGAAUUGUUUGUUUCAUAACCUGGAAGAUGGUCAAACAGUUCUGGAAAGGCAUUUAUUGGGUAUCAACUGGAGCGCUUUCGGCUUACACACCAUCAUCAGCACAAACAAUAAAACAGAAUACAAUCCAUUAAUCAAACAUUCUAGAACAUCAAGUUUAAACUUAAAUUACAAUAGGUGCCAGCACAAACAAGAAUAGAACAGAAUACAAUCCGUUAAUCAAACAUUCUAGAACAUUAGGUUUGGGCGUAGACUAUAAUAAAUGCAAAUU